UAAAUUACAAGCACCCGAAAACUAUUUUCCUUAUAUCUCUUAAACCCAAGCUCCAAAUCACACAAAACUUGUAUAGAAAGCUUUAUAACAAGAUUACACUCAAUCUUGAAAAUUUUGAGCUAAAUCCUCAUCAAAUUGUCUAAGAUAUAGCUCAAAUCACAAGCACAAGUAAUUCGGGCUACUUACUACCCUUAGAUAUCAAGCGCUGACUUCAACUGCCAAUAUCUCCUUCAUAAAAGCUUGGAAUUCGAUAAACAGUAUGCACAAACUGUAGCCGAAAAAGUAUUCUCUUCAAAUCCGGUCGCCGAUCCUCGUUUUCCGUCCGUACGCGUGCGGUAUGCUCAAAAGAGUGACAGUACGUCGAAAACUUACACCUUAACUUUGAGCGCCUAUAACUUCUUCAUAUGAACCCCAAAUGACACAAAUUUUGCACCAAAACUAUAUCAAAAACCUAAACCUUUUGACCCUAGCCUCAAAAACUCGAAUGGCCUCGAGAAACUAACCCUAAUCCCUAAUAUG
This 519-nucleotide long non-coding RNA is filed under the name Physcomitrium patens. RNAcentral describes it as "long non-coding RNA (PPAT_LNC012944)". Lineage: Eukaryota; Viridiplantae; Streptophyta; Bryopsida; Funariales; Funariaceae. The record is from RNAcentral.